Molecule: long non-coding RNA, 301 nt
Filed under: Vigna radiata
Lineage: Eukaryota; Viridiplantae; Streptophyta; Magnoliopsida; Fabales; Fabaceae
Description: long non-coding RNA (VRAD_LNC018494)
Source: RNAcentral
UUAAACUUUAUCUCAAGCACCUGUCUCACAAAUUAGGAUUCAUCAUUUAUAGCACAUCAUGCAUCAUCUCAACUUCAAUCAAACACUAGAAUCUCAUAAAACGAAACCCAUCACACAAAACAGGCACAGUUGAAUCAAAGCAGUUCAGUUCAUUCAAGUAGAGCACAAAAAAAUAAAAUAAAAUAGAACAAAACCAAAAAUUAAAACAAAAACAAAAACAACAAUUAAAAGUAAAAGUUCAGAGAACUGGGUUGCCUCCCAGCAAGCGCUUCUUUAACGUCACUAGCUUGACCCAGUCUUC